CGGUGAAGCUGAUGAAGACCAAUUACGAGUUACGAACGGUAGAUUGAAAGAAAUAAAUCAAGGUUCACGCUUAAUUGGUAGUGAUGUAGCUAACUUUCCUAGUAAUAAAGAGAUUGUAAUUAUUCAGGACGCUAACGUAGCCUAUGAUACAGAAUCCGAAUUUGAAGUUCCUAUACUUCGAAAACAAAAGCCAAUAGUGCAUGCCAAAGAAAAAGAAAAUCCUAAAAAUAGUAACAAAGACAAAACGUUAGUCAUGGGCUACAGUACAGCAGGCAAGCAAGGAAAUAAUAAUUUGGCCAAUAAUGAUCUUGCAAUUAUUGAUUAUAUCCAAGCUGAGCCAAGCCAAGACAAGCCAAAUUUUGGAAAUGACGCUGAAAGACAACACACCAUUUAUGCUACAGGAAAUAAAAUGAAUGACGAUACACAAAUUGCGUCUGAUAACACAAAAUUAACGAGAAGAUUAUACUUAGAAAAUGAAGUCAAUAAAUUAAAAAGGAAACUGCAUAAUUUACGUCAGUAUAUACGGAAAAACGAUGUCAACGAAAACGCCCGUAUCCGUCCCGUGGUAGCGUCGCAGAGCGGUCAACGAAGUACCAAGUUUGAUGAGGGCAAAAAUUUCUACAUGCCGGAUAGAGCACAUCCUCUGCAUGAAUAUUAAAUAAAAGUUA
Long non-coding RNA from Cydia amplana, 668 nucleotides. RefSeq lists it as uncharacterized. The record is from RefSeq and is a predicted model, not a curated record. The transcript has 2 exons. NCBI's taxonomy places the organism in Eukaryota, Metazoa, Arthropoda, Insecta, Lepidoptera, Tortricidae.